This 88-nucleotide transfer RNA is filed under the name Methanolobus vulcani. RNAcentral describes it as "tRNA_Phe_GAA". It matches the Rfam family "tRNA". Rfam says of the family: Transfer RNA (tRNA) molecules are approximately 80 nucleotides in length. Their secondary structure includes four short double-helical elements and three loops (D, anti-codon, and T loops). The record is from RNAcentral. Lineage: Archaea; Methanobacteriati; Methanobacteriota; Methanomicrobia; Methanosarcinales; Methanosarcinaceae.
GCCGAGGUGGCAGAGCGGACUAAUCCGGCCGGCUGAAGAGACCGGUUUCUCCGGAAGGAGUGCUUGGGUUCGAAUCCCAACCUCGGCG